CGCCUCUAUGCCGUCGCCGCCGUCGCGUCGUCGUUGAUUCAACGCCGCUGCCGCCUCCAUUUACAUAAGGAAGAAGUUCAAAGGCAAAGCUUGAUUGAUGUGCAAGAAAGACAUGAAAAUGAAUUUCCAUAUUGGUUUAAGCAACAUGUGACACACUUAAAUAUAAAUGGCUCUGUUGGAUCACAAGAUCAAUUAUAUGCAUUAGGACUGGGUCCUGAUAUUCGUGUUGCAAAAUAUAGUGGUAUAAUAGUUAAUGGAAUUAGAUUUUACACGAUUGAGCGUGAUAAGUAUCUUCGUACACAAAAUAGUGGUAUUGUGGUAAAAGGAGACCAUAAUUCAGAAGAAUUUGAUUUUUAUGGUGUCAUGGUGGAUAUCAUUGAGCUCGAG
Diospyros lotus (date-plum) is the source of this 387-nucleotide long non-coding RNA. RefSeq lists it as uncharacterized. NCBI's taxonomy places the organism in Eukaryota, Viridiplantae, Streptophyta, Magnoliopsida, Ericales, Ebenaceae. The record is from RefSeq and is a predicted model, not a curated record. The transcript is spliced from 3 exons.